CAUUGGUUCAGCAAUACGAGGAAAAAAAGGCAAGAUAUGAUACAGGAGAAACAACACGAUCGGGGAGGCGGCGCAUCUUCGGGGAGGAUAAGAGGACAGGGGAGGAGAAGUAAGGCCUGGUGGCUGCUAAGGAGGUGCUCGCCGGCGAGCGGGCUCCGGCGGCCGCCUAGCGCGCGGAGUUGGAUCGGGGCGCAUCCCCGCGGCCGUGGUUGUACUCGCUACGCCGCCUGCCCAAAAGAACCGGUGCUCCCCGCCGCCUGCCUCUCUUACCCACGUGAAGCUACCACUUCCUUCCUCCUCCGCCAGCCCCAAGAGUGCCCACCCCGUUGCCCGGUCGGCUGCACCAGCGCCCUGCCGGUGGCGCUCGUCGGCCCUCCCCGCCGGCCCCGCGCCGUACCCGUCGUCUCCUCAAUCUGUUGUCAGCGCCCUCCCAGUGGCCCUCGCCGACCCUCCCCGCCGUCCCCGUGUCGUAUCCGCCAUCUCCCCAAUCCGCAGCUAGAGGACACGCCAAGAAGCUUCAGUCAUGAGGCCGUCGCGCCGGAGGUCUUCCAUCUCAGAUUUGUUUUCUUUACGGUAUUUCCUCAGUGAUGUGAUGCUUCAACUUCUCUUCCGGUGCUUCUCAAAUUGAUGUAACCAAGAGGUGUUGUCAAGAAUUUCAUCAUGGCCACUGCUUUCCCACCAAGGUAUUUGCCGCAUGCAGCCAUGCACAAGUGUCGUCACUUGCAUCUCCUCUGUGCGUUCCCGUCAUUCCAUGCCGCACGAGGCUGCAGUCACCACACCCUUGAGUAGGUAAUUCAUCAAUUGAUAGUUUUUGUCCCUGCCGUGACUUGCAUCUUUCUACCUUGCUUCAAAUUUAAUUUGAUUGAAUGUCAAAUAAAGAUCAACUUUAUCUCUGAUUGAUUCAUGGAAGUACAAGCUGAAUUAUAUUCAGGAUAUUCUGAUUAUUACUUCCAAGUUAUAUUCUAACACAAUGUCUUUGGUUUAACAACUUGCAAGUGUUUCUUGUACUGAUGUUAACCUCAUAAAAAAGACUCCCAGGUGGACAUCUGCUAUAAAUAAUCAGGUACUGCUUUCCAUUAUCAAAUUCAAAUGCUCAGUGAAACUAUCCAAUGGAUGGACUGGUUGUUUAACACUGAAUCAUCAACACUUUAUUCUCAUCUUAUCUCCUCUUCCAUUCACUGAAACAUCUACAGUGCACGCUUGUUACUUCUUUGACUGCUUGAACAUAAAUAUUGAGAAAACUCAAUUUUCUAUGGGCAUGAAUAAUCUUUCGAUUCAUACAUAAAAUCAAAAUGUGGUUCCAGUUCCAGGAGGUAUGGCAUGAUUUCUCUGCUGGCGUGUGUGUGUGUGUUGCUUGUUUGUCUGUUGCCGGCUGGAUUGCGCAGCGGCGAUGCCGGGAGCCGGGGGUCAUUGGAAAAGUGAGAUGCCGACGUCACUCAAAACGAUCCUUGCAUGGUAUUGACAGAAUCAUCCACAAAUUAUUUGAUGGCAUUGACCCUUGCUUGGCACGUGCUUGGCAUUGACUGAAUCCUACAUUGGCGAGCUUGUAUCCCGACCAACCUCUUUGUCUUCAUUUUUUAGAAGCUAACUCACUUGGUUUGUGCGCUCCAAUUUGCAUAUAGAGAGGUUCAGAUGUCUGGCCAUCUAGGCACUGCCUAUUUCUCUAAACCUGAAAAUUCAAAAAUCACUUUAGUUUUCACUAACACAGCUAGGGCCAACACCUGCUAUCAAAAGAGCCUCAACAGUGGACGGGGUGGCGGAGUAGUCACGUACCAACAAUACAGUAACUGCUAGCUAUACUUCUGGAGCAAAUUCUUUGUCGUAGUCAUCAGGCCGCAGAUGGCGUUGCCGGGAUACACGCCCACCAAGGUCUCCGGCCCUAUAGGCCCAUGAGGGAUCCAGGGUGUUGCUCUAUGCAGCAUCAUGACCACAAUGGUGACUUUGUUUUGAAAAUACUAUUUGAAUGGCAUCACAACAUUGAGUACACAUUUUUUUUCAACAGUUGCUUUAUUUUUAUACCAUGUGAAUCUCCCUGGGUUAGAGCUUGAGAUGUGCGUUACACACGGUUAAUUUUUCACGAUUUAUUGUUGUUGCUAUUUCCCAUGAGGUACUUGAUAAAAAGUGUUCGGCGUGUGGUGCUCUUCAAUGACUUGUUCUCUUUUGAAGAGCAAGCAGUAGAGCAUGAGAGUGCCGUGAUCCUCCAAAUUCCUGCUCGCUUCUAUACCCGUAUAUCUGUUAUUUUUGACUGAUUUUAUUCCCUUGAAUGCUACAUAAGAGGUGUCUUUGCAGAGCUUAAGAACAAUUUAUUUGGUUGGAGCUAACUAAUACUGUAUUGCAAAGGGCCAGACAGCCAACCAACUACAAAUGGACUGCCCGAAUUUAUCCAUGUGCUGGAAUAGAUGAUAUUUGAUGAUUUGAACCUUGCAACGGUAGGGUUUCCACAUGUAUCUACCUCAAUUUAUUUGAUGAUACUUGUUGAAAGAUAUUUCUAAUACUUUAGUGCAUGUGAUAUAUUAUUUUAGAUAGUAGUACUACUUUAAUGUGGUGUGUUACAUUUUAGCUGGCAAAUGGGUUAAAUUCAUCUACGCAUCAGGUCAUCAGCACUCAGUAUCUCUGUGUUCUUGACAUACAAAAACUAUACGUGUGUGAACUCUUGAAGUAAAAUACCAUAUUGUCUGCUUGAUUGUUAUUGUAGUUAACAAAAUGUUUAAAAAUUUAGCAAAAACAUACAACAUCCAAUAAUAUAGUACUUAUUAGCAUCUAUUGUGAUUAUCAACAUUUAUAUUUGUAAGACAUGUGUUGCACAUGCAUGUUUAUUUUGUUUUAAGUUUUCAACUGCAGGGGUGUGAGACUUUAGCAUGCUCUGUACAUAAGCAGGGAGUUCAGGGGCAGAACUGAAGGUAGACUCGGGUGCAGUUAUCCACUCCUACUUGCUUUCACUAGAACAACAUAUUACACUGUGAAAGCAAGAUCAUGCACUGGCAUCGGUUUUAUUACUCCACAGAUGUGGGUCAUCGGCCAUGACAAAAUAUGGGAUAACAAAUAUUAUGGAUACAAGAUGGCAACAUAAACUUCGCAAUUUUAUGAUUUGUGAUCUCGUAGAUUUUUGCCAUGCGGAGGACAAAUGAUUCUGGCUAUAUGCACUGGAGUUUAAUCCAUGUAUGUGAACUAAUUAGAUAUCGAUCUAUGUAAAUUUGGAGAAUCAUAUGUGUUUGAGAUGAUUUGAGAGUGCCCUUACCGGCCGUGUAGGUCCACGGUAAUUUGAUUGUUCUGAUUUGUGUUCCAUUUUUACUUAACGGAGAUGUAUUUUCACUAUUAAGUGUAAUAAUUAAUAACUAUUGGAUGUGUUCCGCAACGCGAUACACGACGAGUGGGAUUUUCCUUGGCAUGAGCGGAGAUGCCUUCGAAUUACUAAGUUUUAUUUGGUUGUUUGUUUCAUGUGUUAGUUCUGUAUUGUACCAAUGUUCAUUCAAAUGAAAAUGCAAGGUACUACAAUGAUGAAUGUAUGAUAUUUUCAUAAAAUUAAUAAAAUAUAGGACAUUGAAAUGUAGGGGUUGAGGUUUAGAGGUCUGCUGGAGUUAAACAAAUUGUAAGUGAGGAUCUUUAUAGUUGAGUCCCUAUGCGUUGAUUGAUGGGAAAUGUUUUAGGGGACCUAUGAGAGUUUCUCUGACUCCAGUUCAUGACUCCUUGGAAAUCCUCCCAACCAUUCCUGUUUACACUAAAAACAUAUUUUGUUACCCUUUUAAUUAUUAUUUUUAAAAAUUUCUUUAGUGAAUUCAACUUCAUCAUAUAAUCGAGUUUUGCUUUGAGCACGCAUGACGGCCACACGACAAGAGCUGGGAAGGAGGCAGAGUUCAUAAAGUACAUGUUCGACCGUGACAACCCCAAGCAUGUGUCCGCGUACUUGAUGAUGAGGUGGCCAGGUGAAUACGACUCAUGAGAGUGCGAGCUUUGAAAGAGGAUAAGUAGAACACAUUAGUGGCGAGGGAACGCAAGAAUUUUGUUUCUCCCGUUGCAACGCAUGAAUACAUUUACUUGAUUAAACAUAAAUAAAAUUAAUAAUUUUUUUUUUAUAUUUGAGAGUUACUAUUAAACAAGAAAACUUUGACCUGGGCGGACGAUUACUCUGCCAAAUAGUCUUCUGUGCAAAACGUAAUCCGUCUUCUCACAUCAAUCAAACCCCACAACCCGCUCCUCCCUGGCCUUCCUUCCAAGUUCAUCGCACCCUCCUAGAAUUAGAUCGCUGCCGCCAGCCUACGGUCGCCGGUUGGAGGCCAAAACUCUCUUCUCCGGCUACCCCUGAAGGCAACCCACCAGGUUGCGUCCAUCGGGAUGACGACGGCCAGGACGAAGUCCGGCGUGCAGCGCAGGAACAAGGAUCUCGACGAGGUUGAGCGGAUGAAAUUUCUCACACCCCAAUCCCAGUUCGCGCUGCCGCCUGACCCUCUGCCGCCGCCACUCCUCCUCUUGGCCUUCGCCCCACACACAUCGUCACCGCCCAGAUUGUGCCCACCCUCCAACCCAAACGCCCAAUCUUCCCUGCCGUUGUCGGACGCCGCGUCAUCUCGCCGUGACCGCUUGCCACUGAACCCGUAGGCAUAGAACCUGACGGGGCCGCAAAGGCCGUAAACAAACAUGCGGAAUCCGUCGCCGAAGCUCUGUUUCCCGACACACCGUCGCGGGCUCUGCUGUUCCUCUACACAUCGAUGCCCACCCCUCCCCCGUGCCUCCCUCCCCGCCCGCUGUGACAUCCCGGGCACCGCUUAUCCGCCCUUUUCACUGCUGUCCGGCCGCCUACUACGUCAGGUUCCCGUUUCAGGGGUGGUGGUCAGUGCGAUUUUGGGCCGUGCGUCGUUUUGCCGCUGCCGACAGCGGUCGGUAGAUGUAGCGCGCGUGUGUGCACUAGCUUCGAGUCUAGCCUGAAGGAGGCGAGGUGGCUAGGCAGCGUUGCUUGCUCUGUUUCUAUAGGCGCUGCUGGCUAUACCUGCUUCUUCUGGGCUAUGUGGCGGCAUCUAUUAUGAGCAUCGCUACUAGGGAUGCUUGUCCAGCUUCAACUGAACUGAUCAAGUGGACGAGGGCUUCAAUGUCUUGGCCUGACGUCCGCGGACCUAGCCGGAUGGUCACCACCACAGUCAGUGUCAUUCAUCACCUUGCCAAACGGAACUGCUCGCCACAGAAAAGUGUGGUCACUCUUUAAUUGAAAUGCCUACUUUGUCCCCUCUUUACUAGGUUCAGGGCUAGGUAUUGCAUUUGAGAUAUCGCAUUAAGCCCUCCAACUCUCUAGCAAUAUUAUGUUUACAUUAUUCAUAGGUACUAAAAAAUAUUCGGUAUGAAGUGUGGGUGCCUCGGUGGUGAUACUGAAUCAAGAGAUAAAUUUUCAAAAUGAGAAAGGUGUGGUAACUCUUUAAUUGAAAUGUUCAUGUUACCCUGUAUGGUUUGGAAAUGAGUCAAAAGAGUGCAUUUCUUCAGUAUAGGAUUGUAUGGAAAUGAGUGAUUCUCUUUUGAAUAUUGCAGUUUUUAUGACAAAUUGUUCGAUGUUAUUAAUUUGCAACACAAGCCUUUUCAAGAUUGCAAGAGAUAACACUCUGGAAUUGCAAAAAAAAAAAAAACAAUUGUGCUCUGCAAUUUUUGAUCAGACAUAUCCUUUCUUCACUUAGAUAAGCAUAGAUCAUUUUCAAGUAAGAGAAUUAUAAUAGUGCAAGCUCUAGAUUGCUGCUUAUAAUUCAAAAUACUCUUUGUUGUCUUGAUAAAGUAGUUGUUUACUUGCAGGAUGUGGGGUUACAGUUGGAAGGGAUAAACCUUGCUGGUUAUCGCCAAGCAUUUGAAGAAAAUUGUGCCAAUCGAGAGUAUCUUGAAAACAUCUCCAUGUUUACAACCGAACAGAUGCUGCAACUUAUCAGGUGACAGGUGUUGGUAUAUGAAAUAGAGAGAUUGUACCACACGUUGUAAAAUGUUGAGCCACAUUACAUGUUCUUCCUUACUAUAUUUCACAACAUAUCA
Molecule: non-coding RNA, 6000 nt
Organism: Triticum urartu
Lineage: Eukaryota; Viridiplantae; Streptophyta; Magnoliopsida; Poales; Poaceae
Source: RefSeq, a predicted model, not a curated record